RNAcentral lists this long non-coding RNA (409 nucleotides) under Vigna radiata. RNAcentral's name for it is "long non-coding RNA (VRAD_LNC014419)". Lineage: Eukaryota; Viridiplantae; Streptophyta; Magnoliopsida; Fabales; Fabaceae. The record is from RNAcentral.
AUAUGCAAAGAGAAGAAUAUGAAAAGAAGGCCUUGUGACAAAAAUAUGAUUAGAAGAAGUCUUGGCCUUUUUGUUUUCACUUUGUUUGGAACAUUCCCCAUGAUGAAAGGAAGAAUCAAAGUGAUGUUUUUGAGAAGGAUAGUCAAGGUAUUUACCUGCUAANGAAGGAGUUAAUAUCAUGCAUACCUUUGUCUCCUUCUUCUUUUCUUGAUAAGGUUGCUUUUCCAACAAACUUUCUUGUUUUCUUUCUUUUUCAAUUUUUUCUUUGAUUUUUAUCUCAUCCUCUUUUACUUGUUNAGGUGUAAGAGGAAUCAAUGUUAUUUUAUUGCCUUUAUGGAGGAAAGUUAUUUUGUUGGUAUAGCCAUCAUGAGUGGAGUUAUGAUCAUAUUGCCAUGGCCUACCAAGUAAU